This 253-nucleotide ribosomal RNA is filed under the name uncultured bacterium. RNAcentral's name for it is "partial 16S ribosomal RNA". It matches the Rfam family "Bacterial small subunit ribosomal RNA", at positions 524 to 776 of the family's 1533-position model. The record is from RNAcentral.
UACAGAGGGUGCGAGCGUUAAUCGGAAUCACUGGGCGUAAAGCGCGCGUAGGCGGUUCGUUAAGUGGGAUGUGAAAUCCCCGGGCUUAACCUGGGAAUUGCAUUUCAAACUGGCCGACUAGAGUACGGUAGAGGGAGGUAGAAUUUCCUGUGUAGCGGUGAAAUGCGUAGAUAUAGGAAGGAAUACCAGUGGCGAAGGCGGCCUCCUGGAUCGAUACUGACGCUGAGGCGCGAAAGCGUGGGGAGCAAACAGG